UCCUGGAAGUGAAAGAGAGAGAGAGAGAGAGCCCCUUCCCAACCACCUCUCCUCUAUAUAGUGACCAUGACGUUCCACGAUAUGGAAUAUUUCAUUGGUCAAUUUGGGUCUGAUGCUCUGUCUGUGCUCCCUCCCUGCUUCU
Long non-coding RNA from Tyto alba (common barn owl), 142 nucleotides. RefSeq lists it as uncharacterized. The record is from RefSeq and is a predicted model, not a curated record. The transcript is spliced from 3 exons. NCBI's taxonomy places the organism in Eukaryota, Metazoa, Chordata, Aves, Strigiformes, Tytonidae.